UGUUCUUUUUCAAAACUGUGUUGCAGCCUUGUGCUCUGCAGACAAUACGCCUAUCCUUCAACCAAGCAGCUUCAAUAUCAUUGUAUUUCCCCGUUUCUCACAUUUAUGUCUUUGUUUUGAAAGGCAAUGGUGUACAGAUAAAAGCUGAGGAGUAAGACACGGAGUGGAUCGCAUCUCAGCAAUUUGCUUUAGGUGAAGGCUCUCAGGUUACAGGUUCAAGUUCAUAUCAUGAAAGCAUGUCAGACAAGAGAUGUAAAACUGAGUUCACUCUGUCCUGGUGUAGAGCUUCCUCUCCAGUCUGACAGCGCUGCUUCUCAUCCACUGCUCACCUGCCGAAAGCAAAGUGCAACAGGCUGCGACUUAUUGCCUCUGACAGUAAUCCAUUGUCAAACGUAAAGCCUAUUAGAGCAUGCCUAUGAAAACACACUCACAGGGAAGCCGCAAGCAAAAGGCCACCUCAUUAUCACAGCUUUCAGGCUCUGCUCCCCUUUGUGAUACGAUGGCACUGAUCUCCAGAGGACAUAGUGACGUCACAGAAGAAGAG
Molecule: long non-coding RNA, 544 nt
Organism: Mus musculus (house mouse)
Lineage: Eukaryota; Metazoa; Chordata; Mammalia; Rodentia; Muridae
Product: predicted gene, 40551
Exons: 3
Source: RefSeq, a predicted model, not a curated record